This 23-nucleotide unclassified non-coding RNA is filed under the name Arabidopsis thaliana (thale cress). Lineage: Eukaryota; Viridiplantae; Streptophyta; Magnoliopsida; Brassicales; Brassicaceae. The record is from RNAcentral.
AAAACCAUAGACAUGCAAUUCCA